CACGUAGGGGGCGAGCGUUGUCCGGAUUUAUUGGGCGUAAAGAGCUCGUAGGCGGUUCGGUAAGUCGGGUGUGAAAACUCAAGGCUCAACCUUGAGACGCCACCCGAUACUGCUGUGACUAGAGUCCGGUAGGGGAGCGUGGAAUUCCUGGUGUAGCGGUGAAAUGCGCAGAUAUCAGGAGGAACACCAGCGGCGAAGGCGGCGCUCUGGGCCGGAACUGACGCUGAGGAGCGAAAGCGUGGGGAGCGAACAGG
This 254-nucleotide ribosomal RNA is filed under the name uncultured bacterium. RNAcentral's name for it is "partial 16S ribosomal RNA". It matches the Rfam family "Bacterial small subunit ribosomal RNA", at positions 524 to 776 of the family's 1533-position model. The record is from RNAcentral.